This 631-nucleotide long non-coding RNA is filed under the name Helianthus annuus (common sunflower). Lineage: Eukaryota; Viridiplantae; Streptophyta; Magnoliopsida; Asterales; Asteraceae. The record is from RNAcentral.
CCCUCCCAACCGUCCCCCAUCUCUCUCUCUCCAUCUUCAAACCUUCAAACUCUUGUUCUUCAUGUUCAUCACUAUUUCUAACAACCUUCAAGUGGUGUGAAGAUUCAAGGGUGAUCUCAAGGUGUUCUCUAGUGAUUCAAGCUUCCCAUCAUCUUCACUAGAAUUUCUACCCUAGCUUUGUGCUAGUAUGGAUUUUCUAAAGCCUAAAAUGAAACCAUCAUCACCUCUCUCUCUCCUCCCUCCCAACCGUCCCCCAUCUCUCUCUCUCCAUCUUCAAACCUUCAAACUCUUGUUCUUCAUGUUCAUCACUAUUUCUAACAACCUUCAAGUGGUGUGAAGAUUCAAGGGUGAUCUCAAGGUGUUCUCUAGUGAUUCAAGCUUCCCAUCAUCUUCACUAGAAUUUCUACCCUAGCUUUGUGCUAGUAGUUGUCGUGUAGCGGACAGGGUUUGAGAUUCGAUUCAAGACGCACUACUGAGCUGUUGCUUAGGAUGUUCGUGACACACUAGGGCGGGCCUAUGCCUUAGAGACUAAAAUAAAGAUGGAACCAGUUUAAUUAUGUGAUGAACACUUUGUUUCAGUUAAUUUAAGACUAUGUAACCUUUGCUUGAUGAAUAAAACAUAACUUUUAAU